Molecule: ribosomal RNA, 467 nt
Filed under: uncultured bacterium
Lineage: Bacteria
Description: partial 16S ribosomal RNA
Rfam family: Bacterial small subunit ribosomal RNA
Source: RNAcentral
GACGAACGCUGGCGGCGUGCUUAACACAUGCAAGUCGAACGGAAAGGCCCUGCUUUUGUGGGGUGCUCGAGUGGCGAACGGGUGAGUAACACGUGAGUAACCUGCCCUUGACUUUGGGAUAACUUCAGGAAACUGGGGCUAAUACCGGAUAGGAGCUCCUGCUGCAUGGUGGGGGUUGGAAAGUUUCGGCGGUUGGGGAUGGACUCGCGGCUUAUCAGCUUGUUGGUGGGGUAGUGGCUUACCAAGGCUUUGACGGGUAGCCGGCCUGAGAGGGUGACCGGCCACAUUGGGACUGAGAUACGGCCCAGACUCCUACGGGAGGCAGCAGUGGGGAAUAUUGCACAAUGGGCGGAAGCCUGAUGCAGCAACGCCGCGUGCGGGAUGAUGGCCUUCGGGUUGUAAACCGCUUUCGCCUGUGACGAAGCGUGAGUGACGGUAAUGGGUAAGAAGCACCGGCUAACUACGUG